UACGUAGGGUGCGAGCGUUGUCCGGAAUUAUUGGGCGUAAAGAGCUCGUAGGCGGUUUGUCAAGUCUGCUGUGAAAUCCCGAGGCUCAACCUCGGGCCUGCAGUGGGUACGGGCAGACUGGAGUGCGGUAGGGGAGAAUGGAAUUCCUGGUGUAGCGGUGGAAUGCGCAGAUAUCAGGAGGAACACCGAUGGCGAAGGCAGUUCUCUGGGCCGUAACUGACGCUGAGGAGCGAAAGCGUGGGGAGCGAACAGG
RNAcentral lists this ribosomal RNA (253 nucleotides) under uncultured bacterium. Its description in RNAcentral is "partial 16S ribosomal RNA". It matches the Rfam family "Bacterial small subunit ribosomal RNA", at positions 524 to 776 of the family's 1533-position model. The record is from RNAcentral.